UGAAUAUGCUUACCGUAGACAGUAGGUGCCUUAGUGCUUAAUUUCCUACCGAGGUGUUGUGAUAGAAACAAGAAGUAACGAGCUUGCUCGUAUAACUUUCGUUUUAUCAAGCCUUCGUGAUUCUGCGGAGGCUUUUC
This 137-nucleotide small RNA is filed under the name Paenibacillus odorifer. Its description in RNAcentral is "Ribosomal protein L10 leader". It matches the Rfam family "Ribosomal protein L10 leader", at positions 9 to 128 of the family's 138-position model. From Rfam's summary of the family: This family is a putative r-protein leader autoregulatory structure found in B. subtilis and other low-GC Gram-positive bacteria. It is located in the 5' untranslated regions of mRNAs encoding ribosomal proteins L10 and L12 (rplJ-rplL). Lineage: Bacteria; Bacillati; Bacillota; Bacilli; Caryophanales; Paenibacillaceae. The record is from RNAcentral.